GUCAACAGACAUAUGACGCUGAACGUGCCCGAUCUAGUCUGACCUUGGAAGCUAGGCAGGGUGGGUUCAGUUAGUAUUUGGAUGGGAGAUAUCAAACAGAAACCACAAAAUUAUUUACA
Ribosomal RNA from Cercocebus atys (sooty mangabey), 119 nucleotides. The record is from Ensembl. Lineage: Eukaryota; Metazoa; Chordata; Mammalia; Primates; Cercopithecidae.